This 394-nucleotide ribosomal RNA is filed under the name uncultured bacterium. Its description in RNAcentral is "bacterial SSU rRNA". It matches the Rfam family "Bacterial small subunit ribosomal RNA", at positions 32 to 417 of the family's 1533-position model. The record is from RNAcentral.
AAUCAACGCUGGCGGCGUGCCUCAGACAUGCAAGUCGAACGCGAAAGUUCCCUUCGGGGAGCGAGUAGAGUGGCGCACGGGUGAGUAACACGUAGGUAAUCUACCCUCGAGUGGGGAAUAACUCAGGGAAACUUGAGCUAAUACCGCAUAAUGCAGCGGCACCACAUGGUGACAGUUGUUAAAGCAUUUAUGCGCUUGGGGAGGAGCCUGCGGCAGAUUAGCUAGUUGGUAAGGUAAUGGCUUACCAAGGCAACGAUCUGUAACCGGCCUGAGAGGGCGGACGGUCACACUGACACUGAAUAACGGGUCAGACUCCUACGGGAGGCAGCAGUCGGGAAUUUUGCGCAAUGGGCGAAAGCCUGACGCAGCGACGCCGCGUGAGGGAUGACGGCCU